ACUGAAAGGAACUCGGCAAAUAUUUUUAACCUCGCCUGUUUAACAAAAACAUCACUAGAAGAAAUGAUUUUUAGCAAUACCUGCCCAGUGCGACAUAUUACUGUAAACGGCCGCCCUAGCGUGAGGGUGCUAAGGUAGCGAAAUUCCUUGCCUUUUAAUUGUAGGCCUGCAUGAAUGGUUUAACGAGGGUUAAGCUGUCUCUAAGUUUAUAAGUUGAAAUUGUAUUAAAGGUGAAGAUACCUUUAUUUUGAAGUUAGACAAAAAGACCCCGUGCAACUUUGAAAAUUAGCUUUAUUAAAAGGUGAGAGAUUUUUAGGUGGGGCGCCUAGAGAGCUAGUUCUAACCUCUUUUAUUGAGUUAUUAAAACUUUCAAGUCUUGACCCGGUUAUACCCGAUCAUAGGAGAAGUUACGCCGGGGAUAACAGGCUAAUCCUUUAGUAGAGCUCGUAUUGGCUAAAGGGAUUGGCACCUCGAUGUUGAAUCAGGGAUGAUACCUUUGAGGCGUAGAAGCUUCGAGAGUGGGUCUGUUCGACCUUUAAUACCCUACGUGAUUUGAGUUCAGACCGGCGUAAGCCAGGUUGGUUUCUAUCUGCUUUAAUUAACUUUAUCUCGGCAUGUACGAAAGGACCGUUGAGA
Molecule: ribosomal RNA, 636 nt
Filed under: Talonostrea talonata
Lineage: Eukaryota; Metazoa; Mollusca; Bivalvia; Ostreida; Ostreidae
Description: Crassostrea talonata 16S ribosomal RNA
Rfam family: Bacterial large subunit ribosomal RNA
Source: RNAcentral